GGUGGGUAGCUCAGUGGUUAGAGCACCUGGAAUAUAUUUUGGUGGGGGACCUGGGUUCAAAUCCCGGCUAUUAUCA
Non-coding RNA from Russula aff. rugulosa BPL654, 76 nucleotides. The record is from the annotation of a GenBank genome assembly. NCBI's taxonomy places the organism in Eukaryota, Fungi, Basidiomycota, Agaricomycetes, Russulales, Russulaceae.